GUUUGUUUAACUAUGGCAAUAAGAAAUAGAUGGUAGUUUAAUUGCAUAAAAUUAUUAUAUAAUAACUUUGAUUAUGUAUUAAUUAAUGAAUUAGCAGUUAGUUUUUUAUUAGAGUUAGCGUUUUUUAAGAAGCUACUAUAGAAAGGGGAUAGGACACAGUGCCAGCAUCCGCGGUUAAUCUGUUUUCUUUGUUUUUUUGUAAUAUACUCACUAAAGGUUAAGCGUAAGGUUAGGUGAAAUUUUCUUAUUUUUGUAUUAAACUUUUGUUGAGUAGGGAGUAGUGGUUUGUGACAGGGAUUAGAUACCCCAUUAAUCUACUAUGUAUUAAAGUUUAGUUUUAUAACUAAAAUAGUUUGGCAGCGAGUUACUCCUGUUGGGGGAAGGUGUGGUUUAAAGGACGAUCCGCCUAUUAGUUUACUUCAGUUAUGUUGGUGUAUAUCUGGUUAAAUAUUAUUGCUUAAUAGCUGAAUUUGUGGUCAUUUAAUAAGUUAAGCCAAGUCUAUGUGCUGCAUAUUGGAGUCUCUUCAUGCGUUACUAUUAUGAUAGUAGAUGUGGAAUCAUUUAUUGUAGUAAGGACUCAAGAGUAAGUUUAGUUAAAUUUGCUAAGUUGAAAGAGGUUUAACUCGGGUACACACCGCCCGUCACCCUCGACAUCUGUUGAGGUAAGUCGUAACAUGGUAACCCCAAAUGAAUUUGGGGUUAAUUACUGUUUGUA
Molecule: non-coding RNA, 715 nt
Filed under: Caulobothrium sp. MZUSP 7989
Lineage: Eukaryota; Metazoa; Platyhelminthes; Cestoda; Tetraphyllidea
Also listed under: 1 other name
Source: RNAcentral